RNAcentral lists this transfer RNA (74 nucleotides) under Patescibacteria group bacterium. RNAcentral's name for it is "tRNA-Ala". It matches the Rfam family "tRNA". Rfam says of the family: Transfer RNA (tRNA) molecules are approximately 80 nucleotides in length. Their secondary structure includes four short double-helical elements and three loops (D, anti-codon, and T loops). Further hydrogen bonds mediate the characteristic L-shaped molecular structure. tRNAs have two regions of fundamental functional importance: the anti-codon, which is responsible for specific mRNA codon recognition, and the 3' end, to which the tRNAs corresponding amino acid is attached (by aminoacyl-tRNA synthetases). tRNAs cope with the degeneracy of the genetic code in two manners: having more than one tRNA (with a specific anti-codon) for a particular amino acid; and 'wobble' base-pairing, i.e. permitting non-standard base-pairing at the 3rd anti-codon position. The record is from RNAcentral.
GGGCCCGUAGCUCAUCUGGUUAGAGCGCGUGCAUGGCAUGCACGAGGUGAGGGGUUCGAUCCCCCUCGGGUCCA